RNAcentral lists this long non-coding RNA (101 nucleotides) under Chloebia gouldiae (Gouldian finch). RNAcentral describes it as "Erythrura gouldiae (Gouldian finch) lncRNA (ENSEGOG00005018652.1)". The record is from RNAcentral. Lineage: Eukaryota; Metazoa; Chordata; Aves; Passeriformes; Passeridae.
CAUCUGCCCCCUCCUAGCAGCUCUAGCAGGACAGCUCUGGGCUCGGGGAAAUCCACCUCGGACCUGACUGAGCUUGGGCUCCAUGGAACUCUGGUGAUCCC